UACAGGGGGUGCUAGCGUUGUUCGGAAUUAUUGGGCGUAAAGGCCGCGUAGGCGGCCCAGUGUGUCGGGUGUGAAAGCCCACCUCUUAAAGGUGGAAUUGCAUUCGAAACUACCGGGCUGGAGUGUCGGAGAGGAUGGCGGAAUUCCUGGUGUAGAGGUGAAAUUCGUAGAUAUCAGGAGGAACACCGGUGGCGAAGGCGGCCAUCUGGACGACAACUGACGCUGAGGCGCGAAAGCGUGGGGAUCAAACAGG
Molecule: ribosomal RNA, 253 nt
Filed under: uncultured bacterium
Lineage: Bacteria
Description: partial 16S ribosomal RNA
Rfam family: Bacterial small subunit ribosomal RNA
Source: RNAcentral